Molecule: non-coding RNA, 800 nt
Organism: Paramisgurnus dabryanus
Lineage: Eukaryota; Metazoa; Chordata; Actinopteri; Cypriniformes; Cobitidae
Source: RefSeq, a predicted model, not a curated record
AGUUAUAAAGUCACAAUUCUGAGUUAUAAAGUCACAAUUUUGAGAUAUAAAGUCACAAUUCUGAGAUAUAAAGUCACAAUUCUGACUUUAUAUCAUAGAAUUCUGACUUUUUUGCCACUAGAUGGCAGCACCUGACCACAGAACCUGAACCAUGCAACGUGAUGAAUCUGUUACCGCGCUCUUUCUGCACACUUUCACCAUCAACAGACCUGUGAACAUCUCACGUCAACAAGAAUGGAAGACCUUCUUUGUUUUCUGAGGGAGAGGAAUAUCCCAGAGUCUACUAUACAGAGAAUGCAGGAGGACAAGAUUGAUCCAAGCGUCCUUCUGCUAAUGAAUGAUGACCAGAUGAAAAGCUAUUUGCCUUCCUAUGGAGACAGGCUGGCAGUGAUGGGAUAUUGUAGGAGGCAAGAAAGCGAACCCACUACUAGGAAGUCCAAGCUGUUCGAUCGCCUAAAAUCAAAAUUAAACAAAAGACAAAAAACAAAUAAUUCCGAAACAGAUCAGCAAACAACAAGAAAGAGGAAUGUUCCACCAACAAGAAAAGUGGAGAUUGGGUGGAUGCUCCACAACGGGGAAGGCUUUGUUCAAAUGAGAACCAAAAAAGGAGGUGGAACAAGGAAGUUGACUGUGCCAAGAGACUGGAAAAAACGAGAACUGACUGAGGAGGCAAUUCGUUUAUUUUUCCCAAAUGGAAAAAAUUCUCACGGCAGCAUUUCUGAAUUUGAAGUGGAUCUAAUGAAUUAUCAGGAAAUGUCAUUAGAUGACAACAGUACAGUAGGGGAAAUGUAUGAUGCAUC